AUGAUUUUAGGUAUUAGAGAAUACAGUGAUGUAGAAGACAGAAUUUCUGCGUUAAAGAAGUUGAAGUUCUGAUGGUUGAGCAUAAUAAAACAAUUUCAGAUGUCGAUAACUGAUAUGAAAGUGCUCCUAUAGUAGAGAGCAUAAUGAAACUUUAGUCACAGUAGUUGGGAAAAGCCUUGCUGGAGGAGGUGACUUUUCAGAGAAAUAAUAGAUCAAAGGAAUCAAUCAUCAAUAUUGUCAUGUUCACUUUAUUGUCAUGGUCUGGAACUGAACCCACAGUAUCUCUAAGGUAUGCCUGUAUUAGAAGGUAAGUUUAAAAUAAGUGAUCUACUGUGGUUUGAAUGUCCCCUCAUGGCUGGGUUGGUACCAUUAUGAAAGGGUGAGUUUGUUCCCCUGUUAGGCUCUUGCCCUUUUGCUUUCCAUCAUGGGAUAAUGCAGCAAGAAGGCACUCACAAGAUGCCAACUCCUCAAUCUUGGACUUCCCAGCCUCCAGAGCUGUGAUGAAAAUAAAUUUCUGUUUUUUAUAAACUACCCAGUUUGUGGUAUUCUGUUACAGCAGCACAGAAUAGACUAAGAAAUGGUCUAUGCUUUGGCCUUGUCUUAGGGUUUAGUCUGGGAAACAGAACCAAUAUGAGUGUUAUGGAAAAGGGAUUUACUGUAGGUAUUAGACCUUACACAAUUAUGAGUGGAACUAGGAAAGUGAAGAUCCAAAAAGAGGGAAUUAGAGGAUCAGAAAAGGAGUCACUACUCAGUCCUCCUGAAGCACUGGCAUAGGUGAGCAAGUGAGAUCUUAAAGGAAAUUUCUGAGAAGCCAAGCACUUUUGGCCACCAAAGUGGGAAUGUGAGGAGAAUUUGCCUCAGAAUAGCUACUGUCUCUGUAGGUUCCCGUCAAGAUGUCUGCUAGUGGGCCUAGUGCUGCUCUUGGUCAGGUGGACUAGCAGGCAGGAACAAGAGGAAAGGAGAGUCAGAACAAGCUGGAAACUGCUGGACUGCUUUACAUUUGUCUAACACCUUAUCUGACCUUCAGAAAAUAAUGGCCAUUUCUUUUACUUCCACCUUCCAAAUCUCAAGCAACUUCCUCUUCAGGCCAACCCUAACUGGGAUGCAUACAGGAAAUAGAAUUCUGGGAAAUAACGUUCCUAGUUUAACCAUGUUGUGACAAUACAGUGACCACACACAGUUCACCUUUUGCUUGGCCUUCACACACUCUUUUUAACUUUACUUCCAAAUAAGGAAAAUAGCAAAAUGCUUCUGUCUACCAUGAUGUAGGUAUCUAUGGAACAACUGAAAACAUGCUAUCUUCUCCCUGGGAAAGGAUAUACAAGAGGAAGAAAGAAAUGGCAUCCAAAUAGAAAGGAAGAAGUCAAAUUAUCCUUGCAGAUGAUAUGAUCUUGUAUUUGGAAAAAACUAUAUACUCCACUAAAAGACUAUUAGAAUUUAUCAACAGAUUCAGUCAAGUUGCAGGAUACAAAAUCAAAAUACAAAAAUCAGUAGCAAUUUUGUAAGCCAACUGCAAACAAUCUGAAAAAUCAAGAAAGGAGUCCCAUUUACAAUAGUGACAAAUAAAAUUAAAUACCUGAGAAUUAACCACAGAAGUGAAAGAUUUCUACAAUGAAAACUAUAAAACAUUGGUGAGGGAGAUUGAAGAGUACACAAAGAAAUGGAAAAAUAUUCCAUGUUUAUGGACUGGAAGAAUCAAUAUUGUUAAAAUGCCUAUACUACUCAAUCUAUAGAUUCAAUGCAAUUGCUAUCCUAAUACCAAUGACAUUUUUCACAGAAAUAGAAAAAAAAAA
Molecule: long non-coding RNA, 1793 nt
Organism: Macaca fascicularis (crab-eating macaque)
Lineage: Eukaryota; Metazoa; Chordata; Mammalia; Primates; Cercopithecidae
Source: Ensembl